GUCCACGCCCUAAACGAUGGAUACUCGACAUCAGCGAUACACUGUUGGUGUCUGAGCGAAAGCAUUAAGUAUCCCACCUGGGAAGUACGACCGCAAGGUUGAAACUCAAAGGAAUUGGCGGGGGUCCGCACAAGCGGUGGAGCAUGUGGUUUAAUUCGAUUGAUACGCGAGGAACCUUACCUGGGCUAGAAUGCAUUUUGAUCGCAGGUGAAAGCUUGUUUUGUAGCAAUACACAAUUUGUAAGGUGCUGCAUGGCUGUCGU
Molecule: ribosomal RNA, 262 nt
Filed under: uncultured bacterium
Lineage: Bacteria
Description: partial 16S ribosomal RNA
Rfam family: Bacterial small subunit ribosomal RNA
Source: RNAcentral